RNAcentral lists this transfer RNA (63 nucleotides) under Hiatella sp. J HML-2015. RNAcentral's name for it is "tRNA-His". The record is from RNAcentral. Lineage: Eukaryota; Metazoa; Mollusca; Bivalvia; Adapedonta; Hiatellidae. RNAcentral also lists the same sequence under 1 other name.
GUUAAUUUAGUUUAAUAAAAAUAUUGUGUUGUGGUCACAAAGAUAGGAUUAUACUAAUUAACA